RNAcentral lists this ribosomal RNA (468 nucleotides) under uncultured bacterium. RNAcentral's name for it is "partial 16S ribosomal RNA". It matches the Rfam family "Bacterial small subunit ribosomal RNA", at positions 28 to 507 of the family's 1533-position model. The record is from RNAcentral.
GACGAACGCUGGCGGCGUGCUUAACACAUGCAAGUCGAACGGAAAGGCCCUGCUUUUGUGGGGUGCUCGAGUGGCGAACGGGUGAGUAACACGUGAGUAACCUGCCCUUGACUUUGGUAUAACUUCAGGAAACUGGGGCUAAUACCGGAUAGGAGCUCCUGCUGCAUGGUGGGGGUUGGAAAGUUUCGGCGGUUGGGGAUGGACUCGCGGCUUAUCAGCUUGUUGGUGGGGUAGUGGCUUACCAAGGCUUUGACGGGUAGCCGGCCUGAGAGGGUGACCGGCGACAUUGGGACUGAGAUACGGCCCAGACUCCUACGGGAGGCAGCAGGGGGGAAUAUUGCACAAUGGGCGGAAGCCUGAUGCAGAAACGCCGCGUGCGGGAUGACGGCCUUCGGGUUGUAAACAGCUUUCGCCUGUGACGAAGCGUGAGUGACGGUAAUGGGUAAAGAAGCACCGGCUAACUACGUG